GUGGAUGGUGGGGGCUGGGGGAAAGCUGGCUCCCACUGCGCACGCGUCUCCUCGCCCUUCCUCCCCUCCCCAACCAGCCGUCGUCUGCGAGUGCGGGCGGGAGGGCUCGUUUUACUUUCGGCCGCGAUCGCGUUUUGUUUUUUUUAAAAAGCUGCCCGACCGCUUCUCGUUCUCUCACCGCCCCCCCCACUCCAACUCACUACAAGGCGGUGAAGAUCGAGAGAGGAGGGAGAGGGAACAAAGAGCGAGAUGCGGGAAAGAUGGGUCGUUGACGCCGCCGAAAGUCGCGGGCGGCUGGGAGGAGUCGCCCAGGUCGGGCCUCCCGUCAGCAGCAGUAGCAGAUGCCGCCGCCUGGAAGUGAACACGGGAGAUCAUAGCAACUUUUGCCGGGCUGGGGAAUCCUGUGUGACAAUCUGACAGCCAAGACAGGGGCUGAAACCAGCGGAGAUCUCGCUGGGCCCACUUUCCUAUUUGCCCUGCAUCUUCCAGGACCUUAUUUUUACACCUUGAAGUGGCACUUGGAGUACAAGAACAAAGAAGUUCUGUUAAACUUGUGUGCAAUCAUCCUGAAGCACUUCAAAGCCAAUGAAGUAAGAUCACCUUUUGUUGUGGAAAAACAGAACAUCUAUUUUAUACACGGCAGGAUCCCAUGAACAACUGCAGCACCAGUGAUUACAUUUAUGUCUUUUUUAAGAAACAGUGGAAUUUAAAAAUUACAGUUAAACUAAAUGUUUUAAAUAAACAUAAAAUGGUCUGUGC
Rhincodon typus (whale shark) is the source of this 759-nucleotide long non-coding RNA. RefSeq lists it as uncharacterized. The transcript has 3 exons. Lineage: Eukaryota; Metazoa; Chordata; Chondrichthyes; Orectolobiformes; Rhincodontidae. The record is from RefSeq and is a predicted model, not a curated record.